Molecule: transfer RNA, 71 nt
Filed under: Cordylochernes scorpioides
Lineage: Eukaryota; Metazoa; Arthropoda; Arachnida; Pseudoscorpiones; Chernetidae
Description: tRNA-Gly
Rfam family: tRNA
About the family: Transfer RNA (tRNA) molecules are approximately 80 nucleotides in length. Their secondary structure includes four short double-helical elements and three loops (D, anti-codon, and T loops).
Source: RNAcentral
CCAUCGGUGGUUCAGUGGUAGAAUGCUCGCCUGCCACGCGGGAAGCGUGGGUUCGAUUCCCGGCCGAUGCA